Molecule: ribosomal RNA, 253 nt
Filed under: uncultured bacterium
Lineage: Bacteria
Description: partial 16S ribosomal RNA
Rfam family: Bacterial small subunit ribosomal RNA
Source: RNAcentral
UACAGAGGUGGCAAGCGUUGUUCGGAAUUACUGGGCGUAAAGCGCACGUAGGCGGCUUUCUAAGUCGGGGGUGAAAUCCUGGAGCUCAACUCCAGAACUGCCUUCGAUACUGGAAAGCUCGAGUCCGGGAGAGGUGAGUGGAACUGCGAGUGUAGAGGUGAAAUUCGUAGAUAUUCGCAAGAACACCAGUGGCGAAGGCGGCUCACUGGCCCGGUACUGACGCUGAGGUGCGAAAGCGUGGGGAGCAAACAGG